CUCCUAAGGCUUUCGUUCCACCGGCACCACAUUUGCUCAGGCCAAUCUACACCCCAUGGCCAUUAAAAGUUAUUCAAAUCAUGACGCUGCACCCCACGGUUUAGGUUCUAGGGGGCGCCAAAGAUAACCCUAAAAUCCACAUAUUUAAGUCUUAUAACUUUUUAUUUUUGUCCUCACUGGCCUCCAAGUUUUCUAGGAUGAUGCAAUGUCCAGCCAUCAACACAUUUGUGAAGGAAUUUUUACUCCCCAAAAGAGCGCCCCCCCAUGGCAGGAGAAAAAAGUCCAUUUUUUCUUGUCCCCUAAGGUGAAAAUACAUAUUGUUGAGAUUCACGCCUAUACGCUUUGUCAUAUUGACACAAAAUUUGACAAUCACGUGCCUUGCCUGGUAUCAUUUUUUUCAGCACAACCUCACCUGUGCGAAUUUACAGUUAUUUUAUCAUGUUGACAUACUGAAUUUACACAAUGGACCCAAAUUCACACACAAAACAUAAAAUCUGAGUGGAAAAAAGUAACAUUUUUACUGUGAAAACCACAAAUAUGUGUGAUGAACUGUUUUUAAAACUUAAACUUCAAAUAAAAAUUGUAAACUUCAAAACAUAUGCAAAUUUUUAACAAAGAACAUAGUGAUUUACCUCUAUUUACAUCAAAAUGCAGGCAAUGGCCCAGGCGUUCUUUGUAAAAUUAUUUACAAAACACUGUAUAGUCUCACAAAUGUCACUUUUUAUUUAUGCCACUACAAAAAAACAUGAUGUAAAUGAUGCAUGAUGUAAAACAUGAUGUAAAAAACUUGUGUAGAUCCUCCUCUAUGUCAGUCCAUGUGUAAUUUUUCCAUAAUUCUUUGUUUUUUGCAGCAUUUUUGUUAGUGUAACUGCAGAUUGUGCUGACAGUGUCUAUGGCACAAAAAAAAAAAAAAAUUUAAAAUGCCUCAACAUGAACCCCUGGUGGUCUCUGAGGGUGAAACCUGCUAACUGCUGCAGCUCUGUCAGCUUCAGUCUCCCAUGCAGAGCUCUGAGCGCAUGUGUGGCUCUGCACCCUUAGCAGCGUUGCUAACUCCUCAGUAAGGAAAGCCUGCUUCAUGUCAGAGUCUCUAAACUCCAGAAGAAGUCGAUAAAAGUCCCUUUCUUUCUAAAAAAAAGUCGUUAGGGGGUCUGAAAAGUCAUUGAAUCUAACAACAAAGUCGCUAGGUUUGCAACUACGUGUCCCAGACUGCAUCCCUGCUGAGAGUCCCUCCCUCGCUUCUCAUGUUGCAGGAAGAACGUAAGCGCCCGCCCCUUGUCAAUCAGUCACCAUAUAAUUUUGGAUUGGUUGUUGUGGUGAAGUUUUCCACCAAUAGGAGAGAUGUUGUGGUGUGUUUUUUUUUUCUUUUGGCAAGCCUUUUCCGCCUGUAAGACCUGUCGCUAAUGUCUGCAUGCUAUGUUUUCCUGUCUCAUACAGCGCGAUCGAGCGCCGAACGUGAUCAAAAUAAGCAGAAAAAAAGUAUCGCGGACAUAAUUUAUCAUAACUCUGGUUUUAUUUGGCCUAUCAACACAAUUUAAAAACUGGUAUAUAGGUUGAGGUCCUCACUUUUGAGAUAAGUUGAAACGGAGAGUCAACGAGGCUCCGUCUUGCAGCUACAUCCGGUUAAAUAUGUCAUGUGACUUGAACGCACACACAGACACACACACACGCACACACACACACACACACACACACACACACACACACACACACACACACACUCAGAGUCUGGUUUUUAGCACCUGCAAAAACAUGCUAUUUACAUAUUUGACAAGAAUGCAGAGGCUCCUUUUACCCCUGAAAAAAAUCAAAUUUCAAACACAACUUGACUGGUCAUUUCUCCAAAAGACAACCAUGAAGCUCCAUCCAAACCUGAAGCAGGCAGUUGGUGCAUGUGUACAGUAACCUGAGGGGAGUGAGGUGACUGCUUCUGAGGAGAACAUGAGCAGUGAAGAUUCACCUUGGAGCUAGAACAGAGACAUGCACAUGAUUAUACAGGGGCAGGGGCUCAAGUUUUUUCCAGUCGUUCAUACAAUAUGGAAAUUAAUGUGAAAUUAAAACACAAAGUAUUAAUAGAAAGGUAAUGACUGUCCUGUGUAGGUGACAGUGAUAUCCAAUAGGCUAGGCACUCACGAGGCUGGCUGUGGCAAGUGUAAGUGAAAGCAACACGCACUGGCAGGAAGAACAGCAAACGCCGAUGAAGGAAAAGGGUCUUUGCAGUGAUGGGCGUUACCAGAGAGGGCGAUGGCCAGAGGACACAAAUGGGACGGGGAGGCAGCACGUUGCGGGGGGGACGCGACACGGCUCGGGCCCGCCAGUGCCCCAACGGGGUCCUAGUUUUUUCUUUUUCCUCCCCUUUGAACUGGAAAAUGGCCCACUUCCCACUGGCGAAAACUCAUGAAAUUUGGCAGGACGACCGGGCCUGGUGAAAAAUUUGAUAUUCUGAAGUCGCCCAAACAAUAAAAUGCAAAAUGGCUCCAUAGCGCCCCCUAAGAUGAAAAUUCACACUAUUGACUGUCACGGCUGUACGCUUUGUCAUAUUGACACAAAAAUUGACACACACAUGUAUCUCAAUAAGAUCUACAAAAAAGUCAGUGCAGGCGUAUCUGUCAAAUUUACGGUUAAAGGGUUAUUUCGCAUUUUUUGGCGAUCCACACACAUCGGAAUUUCGCUAACUCCUCUAAAGACUUUCGUUCCAUCGGCACAACAUUUGCUCAGGUCAAUCUACACCCCAUGGCCAUUAAAAGUUAUUCAAAUCAUGACGCUGCACCCCACGGUUUAGGUUCUAGGGGGCGCCAAAGAUAACCCUAAAAUCCACAUAUUUAAAAGUCUUAUAACUUUUUAUUUUUGUCCCCACUGGCCUCCAAGUUUUCUAGGAUGAUGCAAUGUCCAGCCAUCAACACAUUUGUGAAGGAAUUUUUACUCCCCAAAAGAGCGCCCCCCCCAUGGCAGGAGAAAAAAGUCCAUUUUUUCUUGUCCACUAAGGUGAAAAAACACAUUGUUGAGUGCUACGCCUGUAUGUUUUGUCAAAAUGACACAAAAUUCGACACACACGUGUAUCUCAAUAAGUUUUACAAAAAAGUCAAUGCGGGCGUAUCUGUCAAAUGUAAGGUUAAAGGGCUAUUUCGCAUUUUUUGCCGAUCCGCACACAUUGGAAUUUCGCUAACUCCUCCUAAGGCUUUAGUUCCACCGCCACCAAAUUUGCUCAGGCCAAUCUACACCCCAUGGCCAUUAAAAGUUAUUCAAAUCAUGACGCUGCCCCCCACGGUUUAGGUUCUAGGGGGCGCCAAAGAUAACCCAAAAAUCCACAUUCUUAAAAGUCUUAUAACUUUUUAUUUUUGUCCUCACUGGCCUCCAAGUUUUGUAGGAUGAUGCAAUGUCCAGCCAUCAACACAUUUGUGUAGGAAUUUUUACUCCCCAAAAGAGCGCCCCCCCACGGCAGGAGAAAAAAGUCAAUUUUUUCUUGUCCCCUAAGGUGAAAAUACACAUUGUUGAGUGUCACGCCUGUACGCUUUGUCAUAUUGACACAAAAUUUGACAAUCUCGUGUAUCUCAAUAAGAUCUACGAAAAAG
Molecule: long non-coding RNA, 3569 nt
Filed under: Xyrichtys novacula (pearly razorfish)
Lineage: Eukaryota; Metazoa; Chordata; Actinopteri; Labriformes; Labridae
Source: RNAcentral